This 1509-nucleotide ribosomal RNA is filed under the name uncultured rumen bacterium. Its description in RNAcentral is "partial 16S ribosomal RNA". It matches the Rfam family "Bacterial small subunit ribosomal RNA". The record is from RNAcentral.
AGAGUUUGAUCAUGGCUCAGGAUGAACGCUAGCGACAGGCUUAACACAUGCAAGUCGAGCGGGGACAUUGCGACGGAAACGAAGUACUCGUACGGAGUCAAAGAUGUAAUGUUCUAGCGGCGGACGGGUGAGUAACACGUGGGUAACCUACCUCAGAGACUGGGAUAACAGUUAGAAAUGAUUGCUAAUACCGGAUGAUUCAUAGCUAGAUAACUAAUUAUGCUAAAAGGAGUUUUCGCUUCACUUUGAGAUGGGCUUGCGUUGUAUUAGUUAGUUGGUGAGGUAACGGCCCACCAAGUCGACGAUCGGUAGCCGACCUGAGAGGGUGAUCGGCCACAUUGGGACUGAGACACGGCCCAAACUCCUACGGGAGGCAGCAGUGGGGAAUAUUGGGCAAUGGGGGAAACUCUGACCCAGCAACGCCGCGUGAGGGAAGAAGGUUUUCGGAUCGUAAACCUCUGUCUCAGGUGAAGAGGAAGAGACGGUAGCCUGGGAGGAAGCCUCGGCUAACUACGUGCCAGCAGCCGCGGUAAUACGUAGGGGGCGAGCGUUGUCCGGAAUGAUUGGGCGUAAAGGGCGCGUAGGCGGCUCGGUAAGUCUGGAGUGAAAGUCUCUGCUUUUAAGGUGGGAAUUGCCUUUGGAUACUGUCGGGCCUGAGUGCAGGAGAGGUAAGUGRAAUUCYCAGUGUAGCGGUGAAAUGCGUAGAGAUUGRGMRGAACACUCAGUGGUGAMGGCGACUUACUGGACUGUAACUGACGCUGAGGCGCGAMAGUGUGSAGAGCAAACAGGAUUAGAUACCCUGRUAGUCCACACUGUAAACGAUGAAUGCUAGGGUGUAGCGAGUAUCGACCCCUUCUGUGCCGCAGUAAACACAAUAAGCAUUCCGCCUCGGGAGUACGGCCGCACGGUUGAAACUCAAAGGAAUUGACGAGGGCCCGCACAAGCAGCGGAGCAUGUGGUUUAAUUCGAUGAUACGCGAGGAACCUUACCCGGGCUUGAACUGCAGCAGACGGAUUCGGAGAUGAUGACUCCCUUCGGGGCUGCUGUGGAGGUGCUGCAUGGUUGUCGUCAGCUCGUGCCGUGAGGUGUCGGCUUAAGUGCCAUAACGAGCGCAACCCCUCUCGUCAGUUGCCAUCAGGUGAAGCUGGGCACUCUGGCGAUACUGCCACCGUAAGGUGUGAGGACGGUGCGGAUGACGUCAAAUCAGCACGGCCCUUACGUCCGCGGCUACACACGUGUUACAAUGGCGCAUACAGAGAGUCGGUCCUGUGCAAGCAGGGUCUAAUCAAUAAAGUGCGUCGUAGUUCGGACUGGGGUCUGCAACCCGACCCCACGAAGCUGGAUUCGCUAGUAAUCGCGCAUCAGCCAUGGCGCGGUGAAUACGUUCCCGGGCCUUGUACACACCGCCCGUCAAGCCAUGAAAGCCGGGGGCACCUGAAGUCUGUGACCGCGAGGGGCGGCCUAAGGUGAAACUGGUAACUGGGGCUAAGUCGUAACAAGGUAACCGUA